This 253-nucleotide ribosomal RNA is filed under the name uncultured bacterium. RNAcentral's name for it is "partial 16S ribosomal RNA". It matches the Rfam family "Bacterial small subunit ribosomal RNA", at positions 524 to 776 of the family's 1533-position model. The record is from RNAcentral.
UACAGAGGUCUCAAGCGUUGUUCGGAUUCAUUGGGCGUAAAGGGUGCGUAGGUGGCGCGCUAAGUCAGGUGUGAAAUUUCGGAGCUCAACUCCGAAACUGCAUUUGAUACUGGCGUGCUUGAGGACUGGAGAGGAGACUGGAAUUUACGGUGUAGCAGUGAAAUGCGUAGAGAUCGUAAGGAAGACCAGUGGCGAAGGCGGGUCUCUGGACAGUUCCUGACACUGAGGCACGAAGGCCAGGGGAGCAAACAGG